CGAACUCAGAAGUGAAACGCCGUAGCGCCGAUGGUAGUGUGGGGUCUCCCCAUGCGAGAGUAGGGAACUGCCAGGCA
Molecule: ribosomal RNA, 77 nt
Filed under: Escherichia coli 2726950
Lineage: Bacteria; Pseudomonadati; Pseudomonadota; Gammaproteobacteria; Enterobacterales; Enterobacteriaceae
Source: RNAcentral